AGACGUGCGGGUGAUGGCUGCGCGUCCUCAGCGAGCAGCUAGGGCGUACCCAGUCCGAGUCGGCCAAGGCUGGCAACAUCGGUAUCCAGGGAGAUCGAGAAGGGAAGGUAUGACGAUUGAUGGGCUGAUGGAGUAUUGAUAAAGAAGCCCCAAAAUAUGUGGAGUACCUGCUGGACUGGAUUGAAGGCCAGCUUGACAAUGAAUCCUUAUUCCUUAGAAGCUCGGCACACCAUUUCCACCUCGACUGCAGUGACGAGAGUCGACGGCGCUUUCCUCGUGGCCCUAGUGGGCAAUAACCACGAGAUGAUCCUCGCCUCCGUCUACUCAUCCGGGGCUGGUGAGUGGACCGACACCAUCUCCAUUGGGCAGUAAAUUGGCGUUGAGAUCGACAACUUUGGGCACAACGCUGUUGUUGGAAAUAAGGUAUAUCUCCCCUGUGGAGACUGGAGAGACAGACCUGGUAGUGGAGUACGACAUGGGUGCACAAGAAAUAAGGUAUAGACUAGCAUCGUUACUGCUUCUCAAACAUGCACAUGGCGUUCUCACCAUAUACACCAUUGAAAAAUAUCUCAGUCAUUUUACGUAUAGCCGUUAGCCCACAUAUAUCAUUCACAUUUUCAGAAGAUUCUCAAUGCAAGCUUGCCAUUUACAGUGAUCAUCCUGUUGUUCAUUGCAUUUAUUCCGUAGAUCCAUUGAGUACUGUGUUUAUUGCAUCGCCAUAUCUGCUUCAUAUAUAAGUGUUAUUCCAUGAUGAUACAAUACUACAAUUGUGAAUAACUUAAAUUUCUUCUUGAGGAUAUAAAUUCUAGGGAUGAUGCCCAGACAAGCCUAGAUGAGAUGAAGUGUUUGCUGCCCAGAACCCAGACUCCCAGCUAUGAAAAAUUGAAUAGCCAAAAUGUAGAGUUUAAAUUGUUCUUUCUGAAUCUAGGAUGGUGUGAUUUAAUCCUAAGAUCUAUUGAUAUUGAAAUAGAAUGUUAUGGUCCUUGCUACUGAAAAUAAGCUUAACAAUUGGGAACAUCCCUCCGUUUCUCUCGUAUGCGUGUGUGGCCUGUAUCUGCAGUUUGCACACCCAAAAUAUAGUCUGCUGCAUCUGUACUUAUUAGUUUUGGUCACA
This is a long non-coding RNA of Lolium rigidum, 1114 nucleotides long. RefSeq lists it as uncharacterized. The transcript has 3 exons. The record is from RefSeq and is a predicted model, not a curated record. Lineage: Eukaryota; Viridiplantae; Streptophyta; Magnoliopsida; Poales; Poaceae.